This is a long non-coding RNA of Chenopodium quinoa (quinoa), 3725 nucleotides long. RefSeq lists it as uncharacterized. The transcript is spliced from 4 exons. Lineage: Eukaryota; Viridiplantae; Streptophyta; Magnoliopsida; Caryophyllales; Amaranthaceae. The record is from RefSeq and is a predicted model, not a curated record.
UGUACACAAACUAACUGGAUCUCAGUCCAAUAACGCCAGCUUUUGUCCUUUGACCACAUUAAUUUUAUUUUCUGCACUUUUAGGAAGUUUCAAUGAAAUGUACGCAAGAGUUACAUUAUUUGCUUGUUUCUGAUACUAGACACUUUGACAUGACUAUGGAGGGCCCUUGAAAUUUCGAGAUGAAAAUGCAACAUCUUCAUAGAAUCUUUGAGUAUGACACUUGGACAUGUUUCAGUGCUCUACAUUUUGGUAGCUGAGUUUGAGUAACAAAAUGUAGCUGGAAGAUAAUAUUCUAUGAAUCAGACUGCCCCAACGUCCCGUGCUUCUAUUUUACUGAUGCAGAGUCUGAAAACCAGAUCAGCUUGAUGCAGGGCAAAGCAGUAUCUGCGAGUAGAUAUGUCAAAUUGUUGAUUAAAUGCUUGUGUAGAACCGAUACUAUCUGCUGAGACAAUAGCCUAGCAAGCUGUGAUUUUGUGAACAGAAGUUGUGAUUCUAUUGCCUAGAUGUAACAAGGUAUGUCACAAAUCUCACAAUAUAUCGUUUUGUUGUCCCUCUCAACUCUUCCAAUUUCCAAGGAGGGUGGAUUGAUUGUUUGAGAAUCGAGAAUGAUACUUGAAUAAUGAAUGUUGCCUUCUUUACUCUUUGUAUUGAAAAUCUGAACUAUAGAAACAUAAAAUAAGAAUUGAUUUAUGGAAACCAGAGUAGCCAAGUGAUUUGUAUAUGAAUGAUUUACAAUUUUUAUUUUGAUUGAAAACCUGAUGUGAUGGUAGUUAUCAAGUUAAUGGGUUAUUUGUGUAAUUAUUCUAAUAAAACAUAGGUAGAUACUCCGUAUAAUCAUGUUUCACACUCCAACUUUAUCAGUAUAAAACAAUUAACUCAAAUGUUGAUAAGAUUACAACAAACAAUCAAAGUAAACAAAGUACAAUGGGGAAAAAAAAAUGAUACAUGUAAAACCCUCAAUUUAAGAGGCCUUGAAUAUUCAGACCAGAAUGUUGUUCCAAUAGGUUGAAAAACUGUGGUCCUAAAAUCUGUAUGAAAGAUAAUUGCAAAAAAAAAAAAAAAAAAAAAAUCAAUACAUGAUGGUUAUAGUGUAUACUCUUGAAGUAAAUUCAUUAAUUUGUAAUUCUCCUCCCUUCUCCUUGUUGUUGGUUAUAUUUAGGAAGAAAAGAAGCUAUUAUGUAAAAAAAUUUAAAUGUAUCUGGAGAAAAUCAAAGACUAUACAAAGAUCAGACCUUUUUCAGUGGCUUUGAUUUGGAGUAAAAGUAACGCCUUCAAGCUUGAAUGUGGGAAUGUGUUGUAUGAGAGAGUAGUCUUCUCCGUUUGGUGCACAUCUUUUUGAUAAGUUUGGGCAUCCCGAAAUUUUGAGAUAUUGUAGAGAAUUGAGAAGGCAAAAUGAUUUGGGCAAACCCAACACAUUUGGACAAUCUACUAUUUUAAUUUCUUGAAGAGAUGUAAAACAAUGAAACCAAUCAGGAAGCUCUACCAUACCUUGACAAUUUACAAUCCAGAGAUAUUGAAGAGAAGCUGCCAGCACAUUGUAUGCCAUUUGGUGCACAUUGUUGGAGGCUUUGAAGGUCUUGAAGGGUCUCUCCCUCGUUCAUAUCUAACUUUUCACAAUUUACUAUUUCUAACAUUUGAAGGCCAACAAGGUACUUCAUAUUGUUUGGAAGACUUGUCAAAUUUGGACAACCCUUGAUGCUCAAGCAUCUAAGGGAGGUGAGCUGCCCGAUAAUAUCAUUGUCCCACAACGACAUCAGGCUCUUACAUGAAUGAAUAGAAAAGUAUUGGAGGGAACUUAAUUUAUUGAGUUUGGUGUCAACUAAGCUCUCUUGGCAUGUUGUCAUUGUGAAAUUCUUUAAGCUUUGCAAUUGAUGUAUGCCCCUUGGUAGCUCUUUUAAUUGCUCACAUCCAUUGAUGUAAAAACUUUCCAAAUUCAAUAAAUUGCAUAUUGUAUUUGGAAGUGAUAUAAUGAUUGGAUUAUAUGACAACUCAAAAUAUCUCAAAUGCUUCAGAUUCCCGAUCAACUUCGGCAACUCUUCAAACCAAAGACCUCCAAGAUGCGUAAGCAGCUGAGAUUUGAUAUAAUAUCCUCUAGAAAGGACAUACUUACAUGCUGUUUCAUUUCAUAACCAAAUUGAAAUGUUCGGGCUUUCUUUGCUCUGAGAAGCUCUUUUGGAAAUUGUUCCUCUUUUAAACUCUCAGUUUCCUCAUAGCCCAUACGAUAUGCCUAGCAAAGUCUAAAUCCUUCAUAUUAUCCAAAGUUACAACAGCUAACUCUUCGGCCAUAAUGUUUACUGCUAGAUCAUGCAUUUUACUCUCGCAACAUAAACCCACCAAAUGUAGACCUGAUUCUUCAACUAAGAACUUUGAUGUCAGUUCCCUUAAGUAGGAGUAUCCCAAGCCAUUAAAAUCCUUCUUUCUCUUAUCUAAUGGCAACAAUCCAAGUGCGCUCCACAAAUAUGGUACAUCAAGGGAAUCCAAAUAAGCAUCCUUCACGUACAAUGACAAGUAAACAAAACAUUGUUUUAAGCGAGGUAGUAGUUUAUCAUAACUUAAUUUUAAUAGUGGUAACACAUUAAGUCGCUUCAAUUCGGCAAAACUUUCCAUAUCAUUAAUUCGUUGCCAUUCUUGUUCGUUCCUCACACUUCUUAAUAAACUCGCCAAAGUCUUCACAACAAGUGGAAUGCCAUGACAUUUUUUAACAAUAGACCUGCCAAUCUCACAAAGUUUCGAAUACUUGUUGUUUGGGUCCAAUUUAGCUAAUUGGGCCUAGUCAUUAAAUGAUCCAAUGUUCCAAAGUCAAGGCCCAAGCCUCCAUUAAGCCAAGUCAGCAUGAGGUCAAGUGGUCCAAAUUGUUAUGGUCAGCCCAUGACUAUUUCCGGUCCAAUUAUCCUCCUCCCUUUGUCAUGCCAAGGUAUAAAAGCCUUCAAUGGCCUCAUUUAUCAUUCAUUCAUAUUAAAGCCUCAAGCAUUAACUUUCUUUAGGGCUGGCAAAAACUGACCCGAUCCAAAAACCCGACCCGAACCCGACCCGAAAAAGUGGGUUAGGGUUGAGUUUUUCGACCCGAAAACUUAAAUGGGUCGACACGAACCCGAACCCAAAAUUAAAUGGGUUAGGUUAAGGUUGAAAAUCUCAACCCGAAAACGACCCACUUAACCCGAAAUAAAUUUCAGGUCAAAAUCAGGUCGGGUCAACCCGAACCCGACCUGAUAAACUCGAACAUUAUACGGUAUAAAAAAAAAUAAAAAUAAAAAUAAAAAUAAAAAAAAAAAAAAACCCUGAUGGAUUAAAAUUCAGCCCAAGCCCAAAUAUGUAACUAGUAUCUAAAACCCUAAAAUCCUUAAUGCCUCCUCCUCACACAAUCAACCGUUUAGGCUCUCUCCUCCUCCUCCUCUCUCUCUUCAACUCUAAACUCUUGAAAGUUGAAACCUCCAAUCCAAAUAAAUUAUUCUCGGUUUUUCCCAUCCUUAGAUCUUCCUCUCCUUCAUAAUUUAAGUGUUUAAAGAUUCACCACUUCAACCUUCAAGAUUUGGAUCCUUACACGCCACAAACAUAGCCUCUGCUUCAGCUUUCUUCAAGUCUCUGCUUCAACUUGCUUCAGCUUGCUUCAACAUUGUACAUUAUUUGAGAACUAUGUUGUAUAAAGUUUGUAAAAAAAAAAAUCAAAAACAUUGAUUGAUUUUGAAUGCUGAUUUGUUAUUUAUUUAGUAUACUAUAUUUUUGUA